CCUUAAAUUAAUAACUGUAUAGAGUUAGCAAUUGUGUUAUUAGACAAAGACAUAAAAUAUAUAGUAACAAGUUCAGUAAAAGUGUAAUGACUAAUACUUUAGUUGGUGAUGUUUAGUUUUUCUGAGCUUUAAACUUCUUAUUUCUAAAAAAAUGUAGCAUUUAACUAUUUCUUUUUUCACAUUCUCUUUCAUUUAUUAUUGCCAGAUCUAGCAAAAUGGCAACUAUAAUCAAUGUGGCUUUUAUUUCUUUAUAUCGCACAUAUAGACUUCAUAAAUAUCCUUUCAAUUUACUUACAGUUCACAGUGUGUGCAGACCGCCAAUACAAGAGACAGGUAGGAUAAGACAAAAGUAUUUUCCAAAUCCACAUUUUUCGUUAACACUAUACUAUUACUGUAACGAUUAAGUCAAAUAAAUGCUAUUUAAAUUCAGAAAAUAGAAUAUAUACGGUAGUUCAAGACUGCAUUUUAUGUCUGAAAUAAAUGUAAUUCCCUACAUGUUGUUGUUAAAACAUUUGUAAUGUAGUGAACUGGCAGUAAUUAAACAAGGGUCUCAACUCUACUGUCAGUCUAUAGAUGUAUAAGUAAGUCAGCUAUGAUACUUGAGCGUCAUUUUUAAUAUAUAUAUGCAAUGCAGAUAUUAUUAGUGUACCUUAAUUUGAGCCUGUAUCCCCACUAAAGACAAAUAAAGUUUUUUCAAGUGUUCUUUCUUUUAUGAAGAUGUUGUAUAUUGACAUUCCUGUUUAAUAUUUUUAUGUCUGUUCAAUGUACCCAAGUCGAUCUUUAAAGAAGGCAUCUUGUACGAAUAGAUAACAGCCACGAAUGGCAGAAUCUAAAUUUCAAACACCGAGGACACUUUAACAACACAAGGGUGCAACAGGUUUUGCCAAGAAUUAGUAAGUGUGGAACACAAAAGUUAACAACUGGAUGCUAUUUGAGCUGGCACGUAUUAUUCUUCCAGUAUCUGUCUCUAAGAUUGAUACGCAUGUUAGAGAAACAUGCAAGAUAUUUCAUACCGUUUUAUGUCGUCGUAAGACAACUACCCCCACGCCAUGAUUUAGAUUGGUGUAUUUUUGAGAAUUUGGUACGUAAAGGGACUUGUGUUCUAAAGCAAUGAUAUCGCGGGAUGUUGUAUUGGCAUGCGUUCGUCCGUCAGAAAACAAAAAUGCUUAUAAUUCAAAACGUAUUUCAGAAGAAUAACUAAACCUCACAUAAUCAUUGAUCAGCGCAUAACCUUUGCUAAAAUGUAGUAUUAUUCUCUUGGCCGAGUAAAGCAGUUUUUCCCUUGAUUUGUUUGGGGAAAAAAUGCUUAUAACUCACAAAGUAUAUCUGUUAGAAUCACCAAAACUUGCAUAAUUAUUAAUAAUAAUUAAUUUGCACACGCUCUUUGCUAACAUAUUGUAUUAUAUCCUUUGACCCAGUAAAUACGCGUUAUUUCCCUUAGAUUUGGUGGGAAAAUGAAAUGCUUACAAUUGAAACGGUGUUUUUUAUUAUGAUCACUACUUUGAAUGAUUCAAUAGCAUAUGAGCUUCCAUCGCAAUUCGUAUUAGAUUUUAUCACAAUUAGCAUUACCCAGUAAAGACAGAGUUUCUCCCCUUGAUCUGGUAAAAAAAGCUAAUUAUUCAAAAAGUAUCUUACUAUGAUCGGUUGAUCACCAAACCUCACAUAAUAAUUAAUUGGUACAUGAACUUUGCUCACAUUUCGUAUAAUCCCGCCUGAUUUAGAAAAAACAUAUUUUUAGUGAAAAUAGGGAUUUUGACGAUUUUUUAGUAACCGAUUGAUGGAUUUUCAUGAAACUUUACACAAAUGUAGAUCACUAUAGGGCGGUGGUUGACACAUAAUUUUGUCUCUUCAUUAAAUUCAGAGUUAUUGCCAUUUGAUUAUUGUUUAAUCCAUAAAUUCCAACAUAAAAUUCCAUUAAUGCAUCUUCAUGUAAUUUGGCACAAAAAUAGAUCACUUUAAGGAGGUUGUGCAUGAACAUAUUUCGUCUGGAUUACUUAGAUAACUGCCGAGUUAUUGCCCUUUGUUUUAUAAUUCAUUAAUUUCCUGUAAACAAAGGAACCCAUUGAUGUAUCUUUAUGAAACUUUAUACAAAUAUAGAUCGCUAUAGCGCAGAGUUUCCCCGUUGAUUAUGGUAAAAAUGGAACAAACAAACCAUUGCACAGCCCUUUUGUAUAUAAUUUGUGAAUAUCUUUCAGAAUAUAGUCCCUUCUUUCAUAAAACAACCUAUUCGGCGAGUGAAAUAAAUUCACCGGAUUUGCAUGUUUCAUGUUUUGUUUUUAACUAAUCAGCCGGCAUUCGUUGUUCAAUUAAUUCGUUGUAGUAUUCUUAUUUAGAUUGAUUACUUAUAUUGACAGUCUUCUUCUUAAUGCAUCGCCUUGUGCUUAAUUUUCAGGUAUUAUCAAUGAUGGAUCACCCAUUCCUGCACCUAACUUAUAUCUGGGAAGUCGUGUUUUAAGAGUAAGGCCUUUGGGAGAAGGCUACUUUGACUGUCAAACCAACAUUGUUACAUUACAUCCUUCACCAGGGACAACAAGAAGAUAUGGAGCAAAUUUCCGACAAAAUGGUACAAACUCAAUCACAGUCAACGUUGAAAACGUUAUAUUCACAUAGUAGACACAUUUGCAAUGGAAAAUGCAAAAUAUUUAUGAUCAAUUGUUUAUUUUAUUAUUUGUGGGUGAAAAGUGCAUUUGUGACUUUAUUAUACGAAUAAAGAUAUGUCAUGUU
Mercenaria mercenaria is the source of this 2724-nucleotide long non-coding RNA. RefSeq lists it as uncharacterized. Lineage: Eukaryota; Metazoa; Mollusca; Bivalvia; Venerida; Veneridae. The record is from RefSeq and is a predicted model, not a curated record. The transcript is spliced from 3 exons.